Molecule: ribosomal RNA, 468 nt
Filed under: uncultured bacterium
Lineage: Bacteria
Description: partial 16S ribosomal RNA
Rfam family: Bacterial small subunit ribosomal RNA
Source: RNAcentral
GACGAGCGCUGGCGGCGUGCUUAACACAUGCAAGUCGAACGGAAAGGCCCUGCUUUUGUGGGGUGCUCGAGUGGCGAACGGGUGAGUAACACGUGAGUAACCUGCCCUUGACUUUGGGAUAACUUCAGGAAACUGGGGCUAAUACCGGAUAGGAGCUCCUGCUGCAUGGUGGGGGUUGGAAAGUUUCGGCGGUUGGGGAUGGACUCGCGGCUUAUCAGCUUGUUGGUGGGGUAGUGGCUUACCAAGGCUUUGACGGGUAGCCGGCCUGAGAGGGUGACCGGCCACAUUGGGACUGAGAUACGGCCCAGACUCCUACGGGAGGCAGCAGUGGGGAAUAUUGCACAAUGGGCGGAAGCCUGAUGCAGCAACGCCGCGUGCGGGAUGACGGCCUUCAGGUUGUAAACCGCUUUCGCCUGUGACGAAGCGUGAGUGACAGUAAUAGGUAAAGAAGCACCGGCUAACUACGUG